AUUAUUUUAGUUGUAAAUGAAAUAUUUCAUACAAAAUUUUAUUUUAUAUACAUAAUCUGACUAAAAUAUUUUUUUAAUUUUUUCAUGUUUUUUUAUUUACAGGUAUCAUUGGUAAAUAGUUAUUUUCUAUGGAACAUUGAUAGAAAGGAAAAACAGUUAUCAGAGCAAAAACAUCUGACUUACAGAAAAAGGAUAAUUACACAGCUUUUAGGAGAUGUACAGAAUUUAGGAAGAGAAAAAAGGGGACAAACGUCAUCCUCAGAUAAUGAAGAAAGACUCAGAGGAAAGCAUUUUAUGGGAAAAUUGGGAA
Molecule: long non-coding RNA, 310 nt
Filed under: Androctonus crassicauda
Lineage: Eukaryota; Metazoa; Arthropoda; Arachnida; Scorpiones; Buthidae
Source: RNAcentral